AUGUGCGGUUUGUUCUCCGAUGGAAAAACGCAAUCCGCGCCCAGAAUGGCUGUCAAUAGCUCGGCGGGUGCAGUGCAGCCGUGCAGCCCCGCCCUGGAAAGCGGUGGCCGCGGACGGAGGGGCCCCGCGUCUCGGCCGCGCCGCCCGAACCCCUCCCGGUUUGCUUUAGGUCCCCUGGGGUCCCUGAGACACCAGCCGGGAAGGCGACGCGCUCGGAGCGCCCCGCGCACGCCGGAAGCGGCCACCACCGCGGAUCCGAGCCGCUCUCGGGCAAGGAGGAAGGCGCCCCGGGCAGGCAGCAACUCACCGGCCACCCCGACGAUCCCAGCCGCGGCCCCAGAGCGGGACCCGCCGCCGCCGCCGCCGCCAGGGAAGGUGCGAGCCCGACUGUGCGCGCGGCGACCGGCCGCGGAGCUGAACCUGCGAAGGGCGGGGCGCUCGGGGCGGGGCCGGCGGCGCGGGGGGCGGGCCGGGGCGGGCCGGGCCGGAGGGCGCGCGCGGCCGCGGUACCUGCGCGGGGGCCGGGCGGGGCGCGCGGGGGUCGGUCGCCGCACGCCCGCGCGCCCCCGAGUACAAGGGGCGCCCAUUGUUACCGCGCUGGCGCCGCCCGCAGGGGGGCCGCUUGGGCCCGAGCAGCGGCGCCCCGCUCCCUUGGCACAAAGGGAGGUCGCGGGACGCUUGCUGCAAAGAGCGCCCCCGGGGUGCUGGCUCCCCGGUGCCCGAGGACAAAGGGGCCCCGCCCGCGCCCGGACACCUGCACUACACCUCGCGCCCACCCCUCCCGGUCCGCACGGGCCAGUCGGGCGCGGCGGGCGGGGGACCCUGGAGGAGGCGCGGCCACCCGACCGCGCGGACCCUGCCCAGCCCCGGGGCCCCCGGCCACCCGGGCCCCCGGCUCCAGGGGCAGGUCGUGUUUUGUCGGUUUCUCGCUCGCUCCCUUUGGAGCUGCUGCCAAAACCCGGAGAGCGGAUUGGGCGUCCCGGCGACGCCCGGGGCUGCCCGCUGAGCCAGGGGGCCCGCGAACCGCCGACGCCGCAGGUUUUUCCAGCCCGGGGGAGGGGCUUCCUCUCCCGCGGGGUCCCCAAAGAGACCGGCCUGAAGCCGGGGCCGGCGGGUGGCGGCUGUCCCCGACGCGCGGCGCAAGUGGCGCAGCUGCCGGCCCGGGAGCCUAGAAUUGGGCCCCGGGAGGCACCUGCGCCCGCCGGUCAUCCCGGCGCCCGCCGCGGCGCGCCCCGCCCCUCCGCCCGCAGGCUCGCCCUGGACCCGGUUAAUUAA
Molecule: long non-coding RNA, 1275 nt
Filed under: Canis lupus familiaris (dog)
Lineage: Eukaryota; Metazoa; Chordata; Mammalia; Carnivora; Canidae
Description: lncRNA (ENSCAFG00030005420.1)
Source: RNAcentral